UACAGAGGGGGCAAGCGUUAUUCGGAAUUAUUGGGCGUAAAGGGCGCGUAGGCGGCGAGGCAAGUGGAAGGUGAAAUCCCUCGGCUCAACUGAGGAACUGCCCUCCAAACUGCUUUGCUUGAGUCCGGGAGAGGUGAGUGGAAUUCCCAGUGUAGCGGUGAAAUGCGUAGAUAUUGGGAGGAACACCAGUGGCGAAGGCGGCUCACUGGACCGGAACUGACGCUGAGGCGCGAAAGCGUGGGGAGCAAACGGG
RNAcentral lists this ribosomal RNA (253 nucleotides) under uncultured bacterium. RNAcentral's name for it is "partial 16S ribosomal RNA". It matches the Rfam family "Bacterial small subunit ribosomal RNA", at positions 524 to 776 of the family's 1533-position model. The record is from RNAcentral.